UUGAAACUGACCCAAUGAACCAACACCCAAACCAACCCAAUUACAUACCAACUUCCCCAACCCAAAUGCUUUUUAUAUCCUCUUCUUUAUUAACAACAAAAUAACCGACAAAACACAACACACACUAAACAAACGCAACAAUAAUGGCAAAACCCAUUAGUUGAUCCAACCCGAUACAAAACCCGAUCCUCACUGUCAAACCCCAACGUCGUCGUUGAUGCGAAGGGGUGUGAGUGGCAAAAGAAGAAUGUUGCAAGAACCUUCUAGAAUUUGUCUAGGUGGAGCGAGCUGUGUGUUUCAAGUGCAAGAUCCCAGUAUGAGUGCACCCCGUGGUAGCUAAGCUUGUGUGGUGGGAGUUUGAUUUUGAGGUAAUGGUAGGAUCCAAUGUUUGGAGUAGAUUCCAGACCUCCUCUUAUCUUACUUUGUCUUUAUUUAUUUUCAAAGACAAUUUAUGUAUUUCAGAUAUUUUGUAUUGUACUAGAUUAUUUUUUAAAAUUAUGACACUUGGUCUUGGGGA
Capsicum annuum is the source of this 517-nucleotide long non-coding RNA. RefSeq lists it as uncharacterized. NCBI's taxonomy places the organism in Eukaryota, Viridiplantae, Streptophyta, Magnoliopsida, Solanales, Solanaceae. The record is from RefSeq and is a predicted model, not a curated record. The transcript is spliced from 2 exons.